CAGUAGCCGCGGUAAUACGUAGGUGGCAAGCGUUAUCCGGAAUUAUUGGGCGUAAAGCGCGCGUAGGCGGUUUCUUAAGUCUGAUGUGAAAGCCCACGGCUCAACCGUGGAGGGUCAUUGGAAACUGGGAAACUUGAGUGCAGAAGAGGAAAGUGGAAUUCCAUGUGUAGCGGUGAAAUGCGCAGAGAUAUGGAGGAACACCAGUGGCGAAGGCGACUUUCUGGUCUGUAACUGACGCUGAUGUGCGAAAGCGUGGGGAUCAAACAGGAUUAGAUACCCACGUAGUCCCUGUCUCUUAUAA
Molecule: ribosomal RNA, 301 nt
Filed under: uncultured bacterium
Lineage: Bacteria
Description: partial 16S ribosomal RNA
Rfam family: Bacterial small subunit ribosomal RNA
Source: RNAcentral